AAAGGGCCGAGUAGGUGUUCCUAUUAAAGGCUUUGACUUCUUCGGGAGUAGAAAGUUUCAUUAUAAUCUAAAAAAGGACGCAAACUAACGAAAAAUGGGUGAUAGAAAGGGAGGGAAAUUCAAUAUUCUAUAAACGAAGUAAUUAAUUGCUUGAGUUUUCGGUGUAGUGUGUUUCUCACUAGGAUGAUUUGGGUAAACUCCCGAUAUAUAUGUAUUUGCCUUCACAAGAAAAAGCAAUGAUAUACCAAGAAAGGAAUAACGAAUGACUCGGUAUGAAAGCGUUAACUUCUCGCUCAGUUCAAUUUUGCCUCUAUAUGUUUCAAGCUAUUUUGUCCAGAUCUAAGGACUUGGAAACGAGCAAAUCAAGGUAUGGUGGUGAGAUUCGCUUGGGGGAUAGACACUUUAAAAAUGGGAUACGCCUCUUCUUAUUGGAAUUCCUUACAUCCGAAAAAUCGUAUGAUCUGAGCCAAUUUUUUAACGAUACGGUUCGUUAAACUUAUCUUAUGUCCUUCGAUUAGGUGAUGACUUGCCAUCACGUUCUAGGACGGUGAAAUCAAUUAACACAAUGUACAGCAACCCGAUAUGGGAUGAAAGCGAUCAACUAACGUCAAGAGACAAUGGGAAUAGAUACAAAUUCCCGAAGGUAUUAGUUGAUGGACGCAAAUUUUUAGUUAACAAUGAGACAGGAAAAUUUUUUGCCAAGCGGAACUAAAGAAGAAAAAAAAAAAAAAAAUAACCACAAUUGAGUUCCGCUAGUAAUAAUAACCGUAUUUGUAUUGAGUAAUAAUCACAAUAGUAGCUAAUAAUCACGCUUAUUGUAUAACAAAAGUUCUUCUGAAAAAAGAAAACAAAUGUGCGCCAUCUUUGAAGAGUCUUUGUAGAUAGGGGUAAAAAAAAUUAGUAGUAUGGAAACUGCGUCGGCGAAAACAAGGGAAACAUCUUUGUAUUGAAAUAGGAGGCAAGUCAAUUGAUAACCUAGAUUAAAUGAAAAAGUUCCCGUUCAGAUAAAGUGUGAAUGUAAUACUAUACUACAUUGGAGAAUAUUUGAAAGAAAGAUUGAAAAAGGAUAGUAUUUGAGCAAUCUUCUAAAUAAAAAAGAAAAAAAAAAUAAGAAUGAAAGAAAUGAGCAAAACAAAACAAAAUAAAACGAAUUU
Non-coding RNA from Schizosaccharomyces pombe (fission yeast), 1154 nucleotides. NCBI's taxonomy places the organism in Eukaryota, Fungi, Ascomycota, Schizosaccharomycetes, Schizosaccharomycetales, Schizosaccharomycetaceae. The record is from the annotation of a GenBank genome assembly.